GAUUGUUGAUCCUGGCUCAGAAUGAACGUUGGCGGCGUGCUAACACAUGCAAGUCGAGCGAGAAAGUCAUUCGGGAUGAGUACAGCGGCGAACGGGUGAGUAAUAUAUAAGAAUCUGCCUUUUAGUGAAGAAUACCUUUGGGAAACCAAAGUUAAUGCUGCAUAAGUCCCUUCGGGGAGAAAGAUGGCCUCUUUGCUGUCGCUAAAAGAUGAGCUUAUAUUCUAUUAGUUAGUUGGUGGGGUAAAGGCCUACCAAGACUAUGAUGGAUAACCGGCCUGAGAGGGUGUACGGUCACAUUGGAACUUAGAUACGGUCCAGACUCCUACGGGAGGCAGCAGUGAGGAAUAUUGCACAAUGGGCGAAAGCCUGAUGCAGCGACGCCGCGUGGAGGAUGAAGGUUUUCGGAUUGUAAACUCCUGUUAAGUGGGAAAAAAGACCUGCCAUGAAUAAGGGCGGGUGAUGAUGGUACCGCUAAAGAAAGCACCGGCUAACUUCGUGCCAGCAGCCGCGGUAAUACGAGGGGUGCAAACGUUAUUCGGAAUUAUUGGGCGUAAAGGGUGCGUAGACGGCGCUUCAAGUCAAUUAUUAAAUCUUUUGGCCUAACCAAAAGCUUGUGGUUGAGACUGUUGUGCUAGAGGAUGGAAGAGAGAAGUGGAAUUCUCGGAGUAGCGGUAAAAUGCGUAGAUCUCGAGAGGAACACCGAUGGCGAAGGCAGCUUCUUGGUCCAUUUCUGACGUUGAAGUACGAAAGCGUGGGGAGCAAACAGGAUUAGAUACCCUGGUAGUCCACGCUGUAAACGAUGAUCACUAGAUGUCAGGUCCGAUUUUGGAUUUGGUGUCGCAGCUAACGCGUUAGUGAUCCG
RNAcentral lists this ribosomal RNA (862 nucleotides) under uncultured bacterium. Its description in RNAcentral is "bacterial SSU rRNA". It matches the Rfam family "Bacterial small subunit ribosomal RNA", at positions 1 to 871 of the family's 1533-position model. The record is from RNAcentral.